CCCCUCUCUUCCUCUCUGCUCCCCACACACUUACCGUACUAAACUUUACUUUCAAAGUCCACAGGAAGAACUUCUGCCUAUAGUCUGUAGUUGCUGUAUCUGUUGCUUGCUUUGCAGCUAUCCAGUGCUGCUCUGUGUGAUGUGUGCUAUGUGGAGAUAAAGGGACAAUGUGAUCUUGUGCAGAGAUAUGAUGUCAUGGAGUGUGAUGUGUGGUUGUGUAGAGUUGUCCCUGUGUGUCAGAGGUUGUUGCAGUGACCUGCAUCGUUGUGUGUAGUGCAGAGCCCUUAC
Molecule: non-coding RNA, 288 nt
Organism: Pelobates cultripes (western spadefoot toad)
Lineage: Eukaryota; Metazoa; Chordata; Amphibia; Anura; Pelobatidae
Source: the annotation of a GenBank genome assembly